Molecule: long non-coding RNA, 2070 nt
Filed under: Sus scrofa (pig)
Lineage: Eukaryota; Metazoa; Chordata; Mammalia; Artiodactyla; Suidae
Description: lncRNA (ENSSSCG00055022505.1)
Source: RNAcentral
GCUUUGCCUGAGAGCUGCGAGGAUGGGAGUAAAUUGCCGCUUGCACUGGAGGUGUUUGUGGGCCAGAUGAGACGGGAUGGCACUGUCCCUGCCCUGCGCGUGGGAGGUGUGCCUUCCCCUCCUGCCGGGGACAGAGACAUGGUGGCUGGGGGCGUAUCCGGGCCCCUCUUCCCCGGGUUUCACCUGUUUUGGCUUCUGAGGACUACCUGGCUGCUAUUCACUGCCUGUACGAGGAGUGGCUCAUCAAAGGGAGUCUUUUUCCCGUGGCUGCCCCUGUUCUGGUGAUUGAGGCGGACCACAACAUGCAGAAAAUGUUAGAACUCCUUGAACAAAACCGUCACCGAAUACUAACUCCAGAGAAUCGGAAGCUUGGUCCAUAAGAUGGGAAAGAUCCUGCCAGAAAAAUGCCUGCUGCUGCCAAGCUGGCUAUGAGGAGCAAUUUGGGAAAAACCCGCUCUCGGGAGGGCUUUCUGUCUGGCCACAUUUGUCUUCCUAAUGGUCUUCUUUCCUCGCCAGUGUCUUUAUCCUGGGUUUCUGGCCUCCUGGGUAGAUGGCAUAAUGGGACCCAUGGGUUUGGCCUGCCCUUUGGAGCUCGUAGCCUUGCGUUUCCCGGACGCCUCUCCUGGUGGUUUCUCACCACUGGAUCCCUCUAAGUAAGGGCAGAGCCCCCUGACUUAGGCUGGACCCAUGGUCUCUAGUCCUUCAGACCCCCUGGGAGGGCGAGGUGGUCGGCUUACAUCCCAGAGGAGGAAGUUGAAGCUCAGCGAGGCUAAGGAACUCCCUAGGGUCACUUAGCCAGUGACAGUGGAGUCAGCACCAUUCAGACUUGGUGACUCCCAGAUGACCUCUCGCCCCAGGCUGCCCCCUCCUGAGAGCCCUGCCUGCCCUGCCGGAGACCCUCACGCAUGCGUGCGGAGGGCCAGCUGUGCAUGGAGCUGGCAUCGUCUCUCAAUCUGAGCAGUUCCCAAGGACAGUUAGCAUUUCUAGGCUUUCACAAAAUUGUGCCGUGUUUGGCUGGAGCCUGGUGUUCAGCAGUUCUCUAGCGGGAGGCCAGGGUGGCACCUACCACCUUGUCAUUGGGACUUCCUGAUCCUUGGCUCCUGAAUGGUGCUUGGUCUCCUUGGUGACAACAUUCCUGCUUGAGCUGCUGCUGAUUUCCUGUCGGCAGUGGCUUGUGGCCCCAGGCUGGUGUGUGCGGUGCUGCCCUGGGGCAGGAGGCCACCACCUGGCUUCUGAGGCUCUGACUCCACAGUGGCCUCGUGUGAGGAGCUUUGGCCUGGAAUUCUUGGGAGUGUGUGGCCCAGGGCGGAGACACAAGUGGCCUUAAAUCUUUUUUGAAAUGUUCUUCUAUCCACGGGGACCCCUUGGGCCGUAGAGCAGGAAACUUGCGUUAAGUUCAGAGACUGUCCUAGCUCCGCUCGGCUGUAGCAGCGCCUUGAAGGCACGGCUGUCUCCUGCGUCAGGUGGAAGCAAGGGAAGGGAAGAGCUGCUCUUUGGGGACAGUCUGGACCGGAAGUCGAGCUUGAAAGCAAAGGCUCUCGGAGCAUUGGUGCUCCUGAUGUUUGGAGGUGGGUGGAGGGAGCUUCCAGAGGACUGGAUGCAGAAAUGGGGAUGGAAUGAUUGUGAACUUGGGGAAACAGGCCCGGGCUUCUCUGAGCAGCAGCUGGGGUAUGUAAAGGCGGGACGGCCUCGACCCAGCCUCUGUGCACGAGACUGACGCCCAGUAGGGGACGGGCGGCCCUGGUAGGGUCCAGUUCCAGAGGCAGCGCUAGAGGGGCAGCACUCUGGCUUCCGGCCCUUCCUGGCUAGACCGACUCUCGGCCGUGUGCAGGGGAGGGCGGCAGCCCAGUGGGGACGUGUCUCGCGCCCAGGUGUCGGUGACAGACAGAAAGCUGGGCGAGGCCGUGCCUCUGUGGCCGGGCGUCUCCGUGUGCUGGGACCAUCUUUGGGACUUCGCGAAUGGGACAGUCCGAUUUUCCCCACAGCUCAGUUUGGGCAUCUGUUUGGGGGGAAGUGUGAUUAAAAAGAAAUCAUGUGCUGUGGUAGCCAGUAAAUCCCUCACCUGAGACC